GGAAUGAGACAUAAAUUCCCCGCUGAAGAAACUUUUAUUUCUGUUGUUCUUUUGGGUUUAUUAAAUAUUUGGGGUUGGGGGUUUAUUAAAUAUUUGGGAUUUAUUAAAGCUUUGGGGUUUGGGGUUUAUUAAAGAUUUGGAGUUUGGGAUUUAAUAAAGAUUCGGUGUUGGGGUUUAUUAAAGAUUUGGAGUAUAGGGUUUAAUAAAGAUUUGGGGUUUGUUGAAGAUUUGGGGUUUAUUAAAGAUUUGGAUUUGGGGUUUGGGGUUUAUUAAAGAUUUGAAGUUUAGGGUUUAAUAAAGAUUCGGGGUUGGGGUUUAUUGAAGAUUUGGGGUUUGGGGUUUAUUAAAGAUUUGGAGUUUGGGGUUUAUUAAAGAUUUGGAGUUUGGGGUUUAUUAAAGAUUUGGAGUUUAGGGUUUAAUAAAGAUUUGGGGUUUGUUGAAGAUUUGGAGUUUGGGUUUUUAAAAUAAUUAAAGAUUGGUCCAGGGUUUGUAGGCAAUGGGUCGACAGUCUGAGAUGUAAAAGACUGUGUGUGCUACAUAAUUACGAAAUUACGGGCUAACUGGUACCAAAGAUGGUACUUGGCUCCGACUUUGGGAGCGCCCACAAUAUCCAGCACCAGCUUGUAGUAUAUAUGCACUAUAGGCAGCACCAGCUUGUAGUAUAUAUGCACUGUUCUUGAAAUCUCUUGACGUUUAACUUUGGUAGCAUCCUAACACCCUGAAAAAAUACAGAUAGGCAGUACGAGUAUGCAUUGACCUACUCAUCCAAAAUUGGUCAUAAAGCAGAA
This is a non-coding RNA of Ciona intestinalis (vase tunicate), 788 nucleotides long. The record is from RefSeq and is a predicted model, not a curated record. NCBI's taxonomy places the organism in Eukaryota, Metazoa, Chordata, Ascidiacea, Phlebobranchia, Cionidae.